AUUGUUCGAGGCCAGCGCUGUGCCUGGGGCGCAGGGUGGGCGGGAGGCGGCGAGGGAGGCCAGAGUCCCGCAGGCAGAGGUUGGGUGGCCACUGCCGGGGAGGGCGGCAGGGGGAGCUGCCUUGGGGAGCCCGCGUCCCUCCCGCUCCCCCCGCGCUGCGCCUUCGCGGGCAGUGCGAGCGGGCUUCACCGGGCGCGGAGAGUGGCCGGGGGGUCCGAGGCUGGCGCUCGGGUUGUUUAAUCCCUUCCUGGGCCGCGGAUGGGCGGUGCUCGGGGAAAGGGUUCCCCUCCCGCUGGAUCCCGCCGUCCCUCGCCGGUGUGAACUGGGAAGGGCCUCCGGGGAGAGGUGCUGGGCCCCGGCAAGAAUCCCUCUUGGCAAAGGCAUCAAGGCAGAAGUGCCAUGUUCCGCUCACCAGCCAGCUUUCCUGCCGCCUGCUACCAGCUGCUGUUCCAUGAUACACAGAUUUCUGCCAAAGAACACUGAAGCCUGCCCUGAGGAAAAAUCAUGUGUGAGGCAUUCAUUUUAGCAAGGGGUAGUGCUCUUCUGAGAAGCAGCUAAAUCCUUACCUUUCGCCCUCGCAAGAAAGUAGAUACCUUCCAGUACUGGAAUAGGAGCCGGCAUUAACCCAAGUUCUUUCUUAAUUCCGAACUGUCUGAAGACGUGGUGUUAACACCUGCUGCUAGGAAACUGUAUUCUUCAUUAAAAUGUCAGUAAGUGGUUUGUUUUGAACCGUUCAGUGUAAAUAAACUUUGCUACAAUCCUCAAUUUUGAUAUGGAAAACCUUGAGUGGAGGUACAGUGGAGUCUACAAGAAUGGAGUUUACAACAAAGCUUGGUGUAAACAUCCAUUGAAAGAUAGAUAAAGGGUGUUUAAACAAUAAACCAAGCUUUUUCUGUCCUCAGAGUGUUUCUUGGAAAUAAAAGAUACUUUUUGGUAAAGCAUUUCUUUAGGUGGAUUCAGAUACGCUGAGAAUAUUUUUGCUGACGUUUCCCUGAUGAGAAUAAAGGCAAAGGAGAAUAUGCAUUUUCUUCCCACUGAAACCAUGAACAGUUUAUCAGGUGUCCAGCUGCAGAUGCAUGAUGACAAACAUUUUCAAAGAUCCAUUCAUAAUUGUUUAAAGAAGUUUCAGCUCUCUCACCAUGUACAUGUUUAGAUAGAAAAGUCCUUCAAAAGGCAAAGCCAAACUUGUAUAAUCUGAAGUGGAAUAUAAAAUGGAUUGUUUUCCUUUGCUUGCAGAGGCUCUUGUGUUAGGUUUUUAAAACAUGGCACAGGUACUAGCUGUGUUAUUCAUAACUAAAGGGGUUUAGAUGCCAGGGUGGUCUGAAAUAUUCUCGUAACUUGUUACACUCAUGCUCUGCUCAGCUUCUGUGGCCUAGUGAAUGAGAUUUUUGGAUCUGGGGAUUGGUGAUAAACCAUCGCACGUCACAGCACAGGCUUUGGCACAGUAGGAAGUGUAGGCAGCACCUCCUGUUCUGGAUAUGUUCAGAACUCUCACUGAAAUCAACGGGAGUCUGGGAAGCAAUGAACACAUUGCUAAGGCCUGAAUAGGGCUUGUAGGGAGAGAUGACAGGUUGCUCCACACAAUUGUUUUAAAGUUUCUGUUGUUGGUUUUAGUAGAGGCAAUAUUUUUCUCUGAGUAAUUCACACUCAUUUUCCAGCUAUUUUCAGGCAUUAAAUGUCAGCUUUUCAUAAGAAUGACAAAACUGACUUGGCCACUUGAUGCCAAAUAACAAAAUUUACUUAAAUUACAGUUAUUAUAUUUGCAGUUUAAAAAACCUUCUUUUGUUACGUCUACAAAGCUGAAAUAUUUGAAGUCGAGUUUUCUUUUUCUGGAGAGUGCAAAGCUGUCGUUUGGAUAAAGCCUGUGAACAGCAUCCAGCCAAAGAGAUGCACUGGGGGAAUUUUGGUUCAGGGAAACCAUACACUGUCUGACUGCAUUUUUAACCCUCUGGAGCCAGCUGCAUCCUUCAAAGGAAGGCUUAGGGAAUGAGAUCUGCAUCUGAUGCAAACUGCCCUAACUCCCUCACUGUCAGGUGAAAUGCAGUGUAUGCAAGUGGAAGAUUUGACUACAUGAAGCUGCCUUACCAUUACACAGCCCAUACACACGGUAAACAUCUCGUAUCUUUUCAUGCAAAGCCAUCAGACUAGAUUCUGGGAGCAACGAAUUCCUACUUACAUAACUUAGUUGGUGAUUUUUUAUAGAAGUAUUUUUCACCAUGUUAUUUUUUUCCUUUCAGUGAGCUCAUAGUACAAACAAUAACUUUCUAGGAAGUAAUUGUCUCUCAGUUUUUCAUCAGAACAAAUUUCUGCUUGCUAAAUCAACCUGAUUUACUAAUUAACAUCUGGAUCUUAUGUGCACACUAUGCACACACACAAUAAUUCCACAAUUAUAUUAUAUUAGCUAUUUGAGGGCUCAUCUAAUUUUACUCUAUACAUAAUCCUUGAAAAUGAGAUUUGCAUAAAAUAAUUUAAAAUAGACAGGGCAAACUAGAAGUAUAUAAUUAUGUGUCAAUCUGAAACAAAUACAUUUUCAGUUUUCAAUUUCCAUAGCUGAGUUCACCGGAACAUAAUUUAGCCUCUGAAUAUCUGAAUUAAUAAUAAAAUGACAGUAUUUCACUGUCAUAUAUGUACUUACAUGGAAUUUACAGGCAGGGUCUCCUUUGUUUUACUUACUGGAUUACCUAUGGGGCAAGUAAACCUUGGUAACACUGGAAAGAUCCUUCUACAGAAGCUGGGGGAAAGGAGGGAGGUGGAAAGCCCUCUCUACCCUAGUAUAUUAAACAACUAAAGAGACCUUUUCUCAUCAAGAUUUCUACCACUUCCAGUGUGGGAAACUUAGGCUUCUAACCUUGGUUCUCUAAAUUGUGCUGAAAUAUGAUGCUUGUAAUAACCUAAAGUCUACAACAUAAGUAGCUUUCUAACCUUCAAAGCAAACCUCUUCUUCAGACUCACUGUUUGUCUGACACCAGCCUAUGUUAUUAUUUUUAGAGAUUUUAACAAUUCUUUACAGGCAGUUCAGAGUUUCUGAGUUUGCAUGAUAGCGAUGCACGCAUAGUGAGGUAAAUACACUCCUUUGUUUUCUCUAUCAAUUUCCUACACAUGGCAGAUAUUCUGUAACCUACUAAUUCCUUUGUAGACUUUGAAUUGCCAGUAGGUAAGCACACCAUUCAGUGUCCAUACAUACUGGCAAAGCAUGUUGCCAAGUAAGAUGGUUUUAUCAUGUUUGCCAGUAUUGUUAGUUGUAUAAGGCCAACUCCAGGAGCCAAGUGAUUACACAGGUAACUUAGUUUGCAUAAAGAACAAUAAAUCGAGUCUUCUCCAUAACAAAGUAGAGCUGUUAAUCAUGUAAGGAUAACAGUAAUACAUCAGUUGAAGGAAAGCUCAAUCAGUUCCAGAAUCUGAUAGCACACACUCUGUCUGUUAAACAUAAUCAUGUCUGCUAUGUACUGAUCAAGAAGGUAGUGCUGAGGAAUUUUCUGAUUGGAUGACCAACAGUAUCUGAGAGGUUUGGUACUAGUUACUUAUUUUAAUACAGAUAAUGUUGCCAUAUAGUUUUGCAUUCAUUUGACAUUCCUGAAAGUUACAGUGCUAUGUUAAAGUUAAAUAUGUUGUUGGCAAUUUUCACUACUGCAUCAAGCUCUGUACUUGCUUUAAAAGGGAUCUUAAAGCAAAAAAAAAAAAGCCACCAAACCCUCAGUUUCAUGAUUCAAAGAUGAAUAUAACAGGCAGUAUUAUGAUGAUGACUUUAUGCUGGGAAUUAGAAGGACUCCAGCCAACAAAGGAAUGAGAUUCUAGAAGAGCUUUCCCAAGGUUACUAGGAGAAACAAAUUAAGCCAAUUAAUUUUGAUAUGGAGUUGACAAAUUAAUGAAGGGAAGUGGAUGACACGUAGACACUUGCAAUACCAGGAACCUAUAGGAUACCAGGAAGACCCUUUGAAUUAUAGAAAGCCAUCAAAAAUUCUAACACAAAGACGUUAUGAGGAGUGAAGGGAAGGAGCUGUGUCAGAGAAAGAAAGCCAUUGUGUCACCAGUUACAAAGACUCUGGACAGCACAGAUGCCUCUAAGCAACAGAUCCUGCCCCAAGUUAGGCAGCCCUCCAGGAUGCUCGGCAGAAAAUUAAAGCAACAUUAGGAAACUUAUUUCAAUGUUCCCCCUGAACAAACAGUGAAUUAUGAUGGGCUCAUACUUGAGAAAAAUGGCCAGAGUGAGUAAUUGAGGAGCAGUGCAUAAACUCUCAUACAGCUGCAUAAAGAAUUCACUGAAUAACUCUGAAUAAUAGGCCAGCACAUAAAAAUCAGACUGUUUCCAGAUAAAUUUCAAUAGGAAAAAAGCGGAAAAUAAAAGGCUAAAUUCUCCGAAUAAAUGCUUUACUGCAAAUACUUUUCCCAGCUCUAAUGAAGGGAGUUUGCUCUAGCAGCAGACAGAAUAGGGUUGUGAUGAUAGAUGAUAUCUUGGUCAUUUAAAGCUGCAAGGAUAUUCUCUUCAAUACCUGAUUUUUACCCACUGCUAAAUGAAAACUGUACCCUUAAGUCAUUUAUGAUUCUAUGAAAUGUGAAGUCUGGACAAAAGCUGGGUCAAGCAGACCUUCAGUCAGCACUCAGGGAGGAGAGGACCAGGCCAACAACUAAGGGGGGCAGCAGCACAGGGAUGGUGCAACCCCAACCUCCCUGCCCCCAUUGCUGCUGCAGCUGCAGCUCGGCCUAAGCUCUUAAGUGUAAUUCCAAUUUGACAGCUUGCAUGGGUGUGAAUACAUUUAAGUGAAAAAGAAACCCUGCCAGCCUUAGAUGAAUUAAACAACUGUGACACACAUUGGGCCAGAUUCUCUAAUGCACCACAACAAAUUUACAGUGCUGUGACUGUUAACUGGCGUCCCAGUUCAUUUUUAUUACCAUAGUUAACAAAGCUGUAUACAGAUGCAGUGAUUGCUGUAGAUGCUAAAAUGUUUAAGUACUUUUGUCCGAGAUUGCCUUUUGUGGUGGAUUUUCAUUUAACAUUUUAAAAUGGAUAAUCUGAAAUGAGGGCCAUGUGUGCAUUUGCAUGUCUAGCAUCAGUCUGCUCUUUAUCCUUAAGCAACUUUUCUGAUAUGUCUUGAUACAGUCAUAUAAAAUUUCAAGGCAGAGACUGUGUUCCGCUAACUAAUACCUGUUUGACUCUUAAUUAAUCUCUCAAAGAAUGCAUUAAUGGUAAACAUAAAAAACUGAAAACUAAAACCAGCGCAUACUUUUGCCUUUUCAUCCACUUGCCUAUAUAAAGGAAAAAAGGGGUUAAACCUUGAAAGCAAAUAACAAUUUGUAUAACGUUUCUGCAAAAGCAAAUGAAACAAGAAAUAUAUGUUUGUCACUUGCUUGCUGAAUCAAAUAUUUCAGAAGAAAGGUAAUAUGUUAGCUUUAUAUUUUGAAAUGUCACUAUUCAACAGGAAAUGUCAUCUUUUCAGCAGGAACAUGAAACUUAACAAUAUCAUAAUGAAGCUGCAGUGAACCUCUGGAUAUGAAUUUGACCUACCUGUGGUUCAUUUUUCCCUGCCUGCGAGGAGUUUUUUUAGCUUCAAGGAACAGAAAGCUAAUAUGAGCCAGGCUGGGAAUACAUAGGGACUCAGCACACGCAGCUCCACUGUUUCUUUGGCUGUGAGGGAACACUUGUGGUUCAAAUGUUACAGUAAAUAUCGAGAUCUGAAAUAAAUCUAUAAUUUAAGAUGAAAUGUUUGCUGUUAUGUAAGCUUCCUACCAGCGUUGAUCAGCUCUUUUCUGGCAGAAAUAAGAAGCAUUAAGAAAGUGGUAAGAGAGCAGCAGCUGUGUAAAAGAUGCCAUCUUUUCAUUCAGCAAGUUCUCAUCCUCUCGGUGAGCGACGAUGCUUAUUAAGUCUUUCUUUUGGAAUAGGAUUACCUAAAAUCUGGGUGGUAGAAUUAUGCAGCUUUUUUUCCAUGUCUGCACAUCCACAUUCUUCUUGGUUCCAGCAAUAGCAUGCUCUUUUUGACUAAGUGUAUCUCUGGGAGCCCAAAAAAGGAGUGGUCCUUGCUUUUUGGUUAAGUAGGCACUUACCAGUAUCAUUGCACAUGCAACACAUGUUCUGUCCGUGCAUAAAAGGAGCUUACACUAUGUUUAUUCCUCUGAAAAGACAGUCCCAUGCAAAGUAUGUUUUCUGUGUUACGUUUUGUCAGUAAACAUGUUUCGGCUGUUAAACAUCAAUAUGAUCAAACCAGGAGGAAUAGAGCUUUGUACUCCAGGUCAAAAUUUAGAUUACAAGGGCGAAGAAAAACACUUUAAUGAAUGCUUUUAAAAAGACCUCAAGUGAGGGUUGAGAGAUGAGGAGUAAUCAGAACAGAAGUGUCAUUUUAAGGGCAUUUGAGAACAGGAUCACUUUUAUACCACAUUUGUGUGAAAAGUGUAAGCCAAGAAUAGCAGCUUUGCCCUUCAUCUGCCUCUAAAUACAAACCGCUGCCCUUCCAGUUGCCCCUUUCUUUAGGCUGACAAAGGCAUUCUCAUUGCUGAACAGCAAAACAGUUUGAAAUAAUCUGGAUUAAAAUUAAACAUUAAUACUUUUUCUUUAACUUUGAAGUGGACACAUUCUUCUAUUUAGUUCAUUGCUUGGCGACACAGAUACUUAUACUGGCAGCAGGCAGGGAGCAACACAGGGACAAGAACAAGCACUUGGGAACAGGGCAAGGGCAGGGCUGCUGCUUUUGGCAGCAGCGCUGUACUGCUUGCAGAACUGCAAUGUUAAAGCAUCCCACCCCGGCUGUGUUAGGUUGUUUCUGCUCAUGCCAACAGAACCAAAGCAGACCAAGGUACACCGAGUGGCAGGCUUGGACAAGGCAAUCAAAAAAUGCACUGUUAUAGUAGCUGGAGCGUUCACUGGUAAUGAGGUCUUGAGUAGUAAACAGACAGUUUAAAAGCCAAUAGUGGUGCAAUCAGUAGCACAGCUUUUGUGAGGAGAUAUGGAGACCCAAUCCAGAUUUGUGCUGCAGCUGGUUUGCUGUCACAAAGCGGCUCUAAAGCUGGGGUAGCCAAUUAAUGCAGAGAACCAGCAUAGCAUGUCUCGUGCCAGUGCUCUCCCGGCAGCUGGUAUUUCUUUGCCAGGAAAGAGAAUGUAGUCACAUCAUCCGCGCUCUAUGACUCUCUUGACCAUCCCAGGGGCCCUUAUUUGUUGGUGCAAUCCUGAGUCUGUGUAUCUCAUUUAAAAUUGCCCUAAGAACAAAAUGGGAACGUAUGCAUACAGCUCCAGGCUGCUUCUGUUCAGAGCGAGCUGUACGCUGUUUGGCUGCACAACUGCUCUUGUCUCACAAGUAGGCUCACUAACAAAGAAACUAAGAAAAGUAAAUACUUUUCAGUAAAAGAAAAUUAUUCUCUUUGUUGUUUAUGGAUACAGGAAUGCUUGCUAAAUGAUAGGUUAAAACAUUCAUUGGAUGGAAAUGAGAAAUCUUUUGUGACUUGGAAUGUGCAAAGCACUUGAUAGCUAUCUGAUAAAGUUACAGUGCAUAGGAAGUUCACUUCCUAGGGCUCUCUGGGCAGGACAAGCCACAUAGGUUGUUAGGGAGACAGCACAUAAUUACCCAUAUUUUUCAGGAAGAUAAAGCAUCUUUCACAUGAUCAAAAAGUCACCCCUAUUAUGUGACAGUUGCCUUUUUGGCCAGGAGCACGGGAAUUGCACAACUGAUGGUUCCUUGUGCAGUCAGUGAUGGGAUGAGAACCAGUUCAGCUGAGCCAGUGCCCUGGCAGAAAGGCAUUGAUGAGAGGAACGCUGCUGGGGUGACACGAGGGGACGGUCACAGGACUGCAAGAGGGCUUGCCAAGGGACUCCCUGGACAGUGCAGUGGCCCACAGCCUGCUCGCACCACUACAGCUUCAGAAAAGGGGAGAAUGGGGAGAAGGCCUGAGGCUGGUGAACUCUUCCCAGUGCUUCUGCGGGUGACCAGCACGAGGGAGAAGUGGGAUUUCAUAACGGAAGAUGACCCGGCUGUCUUGAUUACCAUUGCGUGAUAUUAAGAGGAUAUUUCUUGGAGGCAGCUAAACACUGUGGCCUGUAAUCAUAAGGAUGCAGCAUGUGACCGAUUCCUAGAGUUGAGCCUCAUUCUUUACACUUGUACAAUCACAUUAUUGAACUGCCACAUUUGGCCAAAAGAAUUUACUGACAAGAACUGGUGAAGAGAUGUGUUCUGUAUGAGUUUACUCAUACUGAUGGUGAUUCUGGGUUCAUGAAAUACACAGAAAGUGCUCUUGCUGUAAUCAACAUGCUGCAGGGAACAAUGAAAUGAAAAAGUUCUGCUCAUCCUCUGUUCCAGCCUUAGAACAAAAUUCUGCACUCAGGAAGAAAAAUGUGCAGUUUCCUUUGUUUGUACAACUUUUAAUCAUAUCUGUGUACAUGAUAAGUGUUUGAACUUAUUCCAAACUUCUACCUCUUGAUUUCCUCAAAUCUUUAUUUGCAAUAAAGGCUAUUUUAAGUCUAUA
This is a long non-coding RNA of Columba livia (rock pigeon), 8445 nucleotides long. RefSeq lists it as uncharacterized. The transcript is spliced from 5 exons. Lineage: Eukaryota; Metazoa; Chordata; Aves; Columbiformes; Columbidae. The record is from RefSeq and is a predicted model, not a curated record.